Molecule: transfer RNA, 72 nt
Filed under: Marmota monax (woodchuck)
Lineage: Eukaryota; Metazoa; Chordata; Mammalia; Rodentia; Sciuridae
Description: tRNA.Ala
Source: RNAcentral
GGGGAUAUAGCUCAGUGGGAGAGUAUUUGCCUAGCUUGCACAAUGCCCUGGGUUUCAUCCCCAGUACCACAA